This 497-nucleotide ribosomal RNA is filed under the name uncultured bacterium. Its description in RNAcentral is "bacterial SSU rRNA". It matches the Rfam family "Bacterial small subunit ribosomal RNA", at positions 899 to 1397 of the family's 1533-position model. The record is from RNAcentral.
ACUCAAAUGAAUUGACGGGGACCCGCACAAGCAGCGGAGCAUGUGGUUUAAUUCGAAGAUACGCGAAGAACCUUACCAAGGCUUGACAUCGUCUGACAGGUAUAGAAAUAUAUUUUUCCCGAAAGGGACAGACAGACAGGUGGUGCAUGGUUGUCGUCAGCUCGUGUCGUGAGAUGUUCGGUUAAGUCCGGCAACGAGCGCAACCCUUAUGAUAUGUUGCCAGUAUUAAGUUAGGAACUCAUAUCAGACUGCCGUGGAUAACACGGAGGAAGGCGGGGACGACGUCAAAUCAUCAUGCCCCUUACGUCUUGGGCAACACACGUGCUACAAUGGGCGCUACAAAGAGCAGCGAGCCGGCAACGGUAAGCGAAUCUCAAAAAAGCGUUCUCAGUUCAGAUUGUGGGCUGCAACUCGCCCGCAUGAAGCAGGAGUUGCUAGUAAUCCCGAAUCAGAAUGUCGGGGUGAAUGCGUUCCCGGGUCUUGUACACACCGCCCGU